This 837-nucleotide ribosomal RNA is filed under the name uncultured soil archaeon. RNAcentral describes it as "bacterial SSU rRNA". It matches the Rfam family "Archaeal small subunit ribosomal RNA", at positions 21 to 859 of the family's 1478-position model. The record is from RNAcentral.
AGGUCACUGCUAUCGGUGUUCGAUUAAGCCAUGCGAGUCGUGAGGGGUAAAGCCCUCGGCGGAGUGCUCAGUAACACGUGGACAACCUACCCAAGAGUCAGGGAUAACCCCGGGAAACUGGGGAUAAUACCUGAUAGGCCAUGACAUCUGGAAUCGAGUUGUGGUUUAAACGUAAGGCUCUUGGAUGGGUCUGCGGCGGAUUAGGUUGUUGCCGGUGUAACGUACCAGCAAGCCUGUAAUCCGUACGGGUUGUGGGAGCAAGAGCCCGGAGAUGGAUUCUGAGACACGAAUCCAGGCCCUACGGGGCGCAGCAGGCGCGAAAACUCUACGAUGCAGGCAACUGCGAUAGGGGAACAUCGAGUGGCAUCCACCAUGGAUGUCUGUCCAAUCGUCUAAAAAACGAUUGUCAGCGAGGGCCGGGCAAGACCGGUGCCAGCCGCCGCGGUAAUACCGGCGGCUCGAGUGGUGGCCGAUAUUAUUGAGUCUAAAGGGUCCGUAGCCGGCUUUGCAAGUCCUAUGGGAAAUCCAGCGGCUUAACCGUUGGGCUUUCAUGGGAUACUACAUUGCUUGGGACUGGGAGAGGUAGGAGGUACUCAGGGGGUAGGGGUGAAAUCCUGUAAUCCUUUGGGGGACCACCGGUGGCGAAGGCGUCCUACCAGAACAGGUCCGACGGUGAGGGACGAAAGCUAGGGGCACGAACCGGAUUAAUACCCCGGGUAGUCCUAGCCGUAAACGAUGCUCGCUAGGUGUCACGGCAGUCGUGAAUUGUCGUGGCUGCUCGUAGGGAAUCCGUGAAGCGAGCCACUUGGGUAGUACGACCGCUAUGUUGAUACUUAA